Molecule: ribosomal RNA, 521 nt
Filed under: uncultured bacterium
Lineage: Bacteria
Description: bacterial SSU rRNA
Rfam family: Bacterial small subunit ribosomal RNA
Source: RNAcentral
AGGGUUCGAUUCUGGCUCAGGAUGAACGCUAGCGACAGGCUUAACACAUGCAAGUCGAGGGGCAUCACGGGAGUAGCAAUACAACUGGUGGCGACCGGCGCACGGGUGAGUAACGCGUAUGCAACCUACCUAUCAGGAGGGGAAUAACCCGGCGAAAGUCGGACUAAUACCGCAUAAAACAGGGGCACCGCAUGGUGAUAUUUGUUAAAGAAAUUCGCUGAUAGAUGGGCAUGCGUUCCAUUAGGUAGUUGGUGAGGUAACGGCUCACCAAGCCGACGAUGGAUAGGGGAACUGAGAGGUUGGUCCCCCACACUGGUACUGAGACACGGACCAGACUCCUACGGGAGGCAGCAGUGAGGAAUAUUGGUCAAUGGGCGGGAGCCUGAACCAGCCAAGUCGCGUGAAAGGAAGAAGGAUCUAUGGUUCGUAAACUUCUUUUGCAGGGGAAUAAAGUGCAGGACGUGUCCUGUUUUGUAUGUACCCUGAGAAUAAGGAUCGGCUAACUCCGUGCCAGCCGCAGC